RNAcentral lists this ribosomal RNA (460 nucleotides) under uncultured bacterium. RNAcentral's name for it is "bacterial SSU rRNA". It matches the Rfam family "Bacterial small subunit ribosomal RNA", at positions 202 to 682 of the family's 1533-position model. The record is from RNAcentral.
AAAAACUCCGGUGGUGUGAGAUGGAUCCGCGUCUGAUUAGCCAGUUGGCGGGGUAACGGCCCACCAAAGCGACGAUCAGUAGCCGGCCUGAGAGGGUGACCGGCCACAUUGGGACUGAGACACGGCCCAAACUCCUACGGGAGGCAGCAGUGGGGAAUAUUGCACAAUGGGCGAAAGCCUGAUGCAGCGACGCCGCGUGAGUGAAGAAGUAUUUCGGUAUGUAAAGCUCUAUCAGCAGGGAAGAAAAUGACGGUACCUGACUAAGAAGCCCCGGCUAACUACGUGCCAGCAGCCGCGGUAAUACGUAGGGGGCAAGCGUUAUCCGGAUUUACUGGGUGUAAAGGGAGCGUAGACGGCGAAGCAAGUCUGAAGUGAAAACCCAGGGCUCAACCCUGGGACUGCUUUGGAAACUGUUUUGCUAGAGUGUCGGAGAGGUAAGUGGAAUUCCUAGUGUAGCGGU